RNAcentral lists this ribosomal RNA (272 nucleotides) under uncultured bacterium. RNAcentral describes it as "partial 16S ribosomal RNA". It matches the Rfam family "Bacterial small subunit ribosomal RNA", at positions 44 to 334 of the family's 1533-position model. The record is from RNAcentral.
GCGCUUAACACAUGCAAGUCGCACGAGAAAGGGGCAACCUGAGUAAAGUGGCGUACGGGUGAGUAACACGUGGGUAAUCUACCUCUUAGUGGGGAAUAACCUGGGGAAACCCGGGCUAAUACCGCAUAAGCUCGAGAGAGGAAAGCAGCAAUGCGCUGAGAGAGGAGCCCGCGGCCGAUUAGCUAGUUGGCAGGGUAAAAGCCUACCAAGGCAAAGAUCGGUAGCCGGCCUGAGAGGGCACACGGCCACACUGGCACUGAAACACGGGCCAG